UGUGUGUCUCCUCUCUGCUCUGACUGCAGGCUGGGACUGCUGCGCGAGGCUACUGAGAGACUGACCGCCUAUUUUCUUUUCUUUCAGAAAUUUUUUCCUCCCUCCCAUCAUGCCUACUUGAGCCCCCCCCGGGAGAAUGUCCGCGCCCCCCCAGUGCGGGCCCCACCAGUUGAGAACCACUGCUCCAAGGAGGUCACUGCUGGGCUGAGGAUGGACGGACCUCUCUGCUAACCAUCUGUUUCCCUCCACAGGUUCCACCUUUGCCUUGGUCUCUGGACAUGUUGUUUUAGUUGAUAGUUAUUAUUUCUUGCACAUUACAACACCCUCACACACAUUUUCCAUGCAUCCAUCAUCCUGACCUGACUGAAACCACCGAUGUUCAUACCCCAUGCUUGUUCACCUUUAC
Molecule: long non-coding RNA, 406 nt
Organism: Micropterus dolomieu (smallmouth bass)
Lineage: Eukaryota; Metazoa; Chordata; Actinopteri; Centrarchiformes; Centrarchidae
Exons: 3
Source: RefSeq, a predicted model, not a curated record